This 274-nucleotide long non-coding RNA is filed under the name Heterocephalus glaber (naked mole-rat). RNAcentral's name for it is "lncRNA (ENSHGLG00100029623.2)". The record is from RNAcentral. Lineage: Eukaryota; Metazoa; Chordata; Mammalia; Rodentia; Bathyergidae.
CAGGUAUUCUUGCAAGAGUGAAGGGGUUGGAGCCUCAUACACGGACAUAGAAAGUCACAUCAGACAGAGGCAGGGACUGCAGGGACAGAGCCACAAGCCGAGGACACUGCCACCCCCAGCAGCCGGAAGAGGAAGGAACCCGCUCUGUCCUAGAGCCUCUUCGGAAUAUGAAGAGAGUGUCAGUUCCACCAGUCUACACCCUGAGACAAGCAGAGCAGCUGAGGCCAUGCAGGAUCUAAAGACCAGACGAGACCAAGAUGUCACUGAGCCACCC